This 28-nucleotide non-coding RNA is filed under the name Homo sapiens (human). The record is from RNAcentral. Lineage: Eukaryota; Metazoa; Chordata; Mammalia; Primates; Hominidae.
UCCUGGGAAAUGUGGGGCAUCUGGACAU